UGCAAGUCGAACGGUAACAGGUCUUCGGAUGCUGACGAGUGGCGAACGGGUGAGUAAUACAUCGGAACGUGCCCGAUCGUGGGGGAUAACGAAGCGAAAGCUUUGCUAAUACCGCAUACGAUCUACGGAUGAAAGCAGGGGACCACAAGGCCUUGCGCGAACGGAGCGGCCGAUGGCAGAUUAGGUAGUUGGUGGGAUAAAAGCUUACCAAGCCGACGAUCUGUAGCUGGUCUGAGAGGACGACCAGCCACACUGGGACUGAGACACGGCCCAGACUCCUACGGGAGGCAGCAGUGGGGAAUUUUGGACAAUGGGCGAAAGCCUGAUCCAGCCAUGCCGCGUGCAGGAUGAAGGCCUUCGGGUUGUAAACUGCUUUUGUACGGAACGAAAAGACUCUGGUUAAUACCUGGGGUCCAUGACGGUACCGUAAGAAUAAGCACCGGCUAACUACGUGCCAGCAGCCGCGGUAAUACGUAGGGUGCAAGCGUUAAUCGGAAUUACUGGGCGUAAAGCGUGCGCAGGCGGUUAUAUAAGACAGAUGUGAAAUCCCCGGGCUCAACCUGGGAACUGCAUUUGUGACUGUAUAGCUAGAGUACGGCAGAGGGGGAUGGAAUCCCGCGUGUAGCAGUGAAAUGCGUAGAUAUGCGGAGGAACACCGAUGGCGAA
Molecule: ribosomal RNA, 666 nt
Filed under: uncultured bacterium
Lineage: Bacteria
Description: bacterial SSU rRNA
Rfam family: Bacterial small subunit ribosomal RNA
Source: RNAcentral